RNAcentral lists this ribosomal RNA (245 nucleotides) under uncultured bacterium. Its description in RNAcentral is "partial 16S ribosomal RNA". It matches the Rfam family "Bacterial small subunit ribosomal RNA", at positions 524 to 766 of the family's 1533-position model. The record is from RNAcentral.
UACGGAGGGGGCUAGCGUUGUUCGGAAUUACUGGGCGUAAAGCGCACGUAGGCGGCUUUUUAAGUCAGAGGUGAAAGCCCGGGGCUCAACUCCGGAACUGCCUUUGAGACUGGAUCGCUUGAACGUCGGAGAGGUGAGUGGAAUUCCGAGUGUAGAGGUGAAAUUCGUAGAUAUUCGCAAGAACACCAGUGGCGAAGGCGGCUCACUGGCCCGGUACCUGGACGCUGAGGUGCGAAAGCGUGGGG